UUGCNCCUGAUUGAUUUUGGUCGCCAACGAGUGGCGGACGGGUGAGUAACACGUAGGUAACCUGCCCAGAAGCGGGGGACAACAUUUGGAAACAGAUGCUAAUACCGCAUAACAACGUUGUUCGCAUGAACAACGCUUAAAAGAUGGCUUCUCGCUAUCACUUCUGGAUGGACCUGCGGUGCAUUAGCUUGUUGGUGGGGUAAUGGCCUACCAAGGCGAUGAUGCAUAGCCGAGUUGAGAGACUGAUCGGCCACAAUGGGACUGAGACACGGCCCAUACUCCUACGGGAGGCAGCAGUAGGGAAUCUUCCACAAUGGGCGCAAGCCUGAUGGAGCAACACCGCGUGAGUGAAGAAGGGUUUCGGCUCGUAAAGCUCUGUUGUUAAAGAAGAACACGUAUGAGAGUAACUGUUCAUACGUUGACGGUAUUUAACCAGAAAGUCACGGCUAACUACGUGCCAGCAGCCGCGGUAAUACGUAGGUGGCAAGCGUUAUCCGGAUUUAUUGGGCGUAAAGAGAGUGCAGGCGGUUUUCUAAGUCUGAUGUGAAAGCCUUCGGCUUAACCGGAGAAGUGCAUCGGAAACUGGAUAACUUGAGUGCAGAAGAGGGUAGUGGAACUCCAUGUGUAGCGGUGGAAUGCGUAGAUAUAUGGAAGAACACCAGUGGCGAAGGCGGCUACCUGGUCUGCAACUGACGCUGAGACUCGAAAGCAUGGGUAGCGAACAGGAUUAGAUACCCUGGUAGUCCAUGCCGUAAACGAUGAAGUGCUAAGGNGUUGGNAGGGUUUCCGCCCUUCAGUGNCGGAGCUAACGCAUUAAGCACUCCCGCCUGGGGAGUACGACGCAGGUGAUC
This 851-nucleotide ribosomal RNA is filed under the name Limosilactobacillus fermentum. RNAcentral describes it as "bacterial SSU rRNA". It matches the Rfam family "Bacterial small subunit ribosomal RNA", at positions 64 to 896 of the family's 1533-position model. The record is from RNAcentral. Lineage: Bacteria; Bacillati; Bacillota; Bacilli; Lactobacillales; Lactobacillaceae.